GAUGAAGAACGUAGCGAAAUGCGAUAAGUAAUGUGAAUUGCAGAAUUCAGUGAAUCAUCGAAUCUUUGAACGCACAUUGCGCCCCUUGGUAUUCCGAGGGGCAUGCCUGUUCGAGCGUCAUUAUAACCCCUCAAGCCCAGCUUGGUGUUGGGGCCUGCUGCACUGGCAGCCCUUAAAAUCAGUGGCGGCGCCAUCUGGCUCUAAGCGUAGUAAUUCUUCUCGCUAUGGAGUCCUGGUGGAUGCUUGCCAUCAACCCCCAAUUUUUCUAUGGUUGACCUCGGAUCAGGUAGGGAUACCCGCUGAACUUAAGCAUAUCAAUAAGCGGAGGA
RNAcentral lists this unclassified non-coding RNA (329 nucleotides) under soil metagenome. RNAcentral's name for it is "partial contains 5.8S ribosomal RNA, internal transcribed spacer 2, and large subunit ribosomal RNA". The stretch from base 1 to 120 matches the Rfam family "5.8S ribosomal RNA", at positions 35 to 154 of the family's 154-position model. The record is from RNAcentral.